Photinus pyralis (common eastern firefly) is the source of this 105-nucleotide small nuclear RNA. NCBI's taxonomy places the organism in Eukaryota, Metazoa, Arthropoda, Insecta, Coleoptera, Lampyridae. The record is from RefSeq and is a predicted model, not a curated record.
UCUCGCUUCGGCGGUACAUAUACUAAAAUUGGAACGAUACAGAGAAGAUUAGCAUGGCCCCUGCGCAAGGAUGACUCUAAGGAAUACUAAAUAUACACUACGAGU